GACGAACGCUGGCGGCGUGCCUAAUACAUGCAAGUAGAACGCUGAGGAGAGGAGCUUGCUCUUCUUGGAUGAGUUGCGAACGGGUGAGUAACGCGUAGGUAACCUGCCUUGUAGCGGGGGAUAACUAUUGGAAACGAUAGCUAAUACCGCAUAACAAUGGAUGACACAUGUCUUUUAUUUGAAAGGGGCAAUUGCUCCACUACAAGAUGGACCUGCGUUGUAUUAGCUAGUAGGUGAGGUAACGGCUCACCUAGGCGACGAAACAUAGCCGACCUGAGAGGGGGAUCGGCCACACUGGGAAUGAGACACGGCCCAGAACCCUUAGGGAGGCAGGAGUAGGGGAUCUUCGGGAAUGGGGGCAAACCUGAACGAGCAACGGCGCGUGAGUGAAGAAGGUUUUCGGAUCGUAAAGAUCUGUUGAAAGUCAAGAACGAGUGGGAGAGUGGAAAGUGCACACUGUGACGGUAGCUAACCAGAAAGGGACGGCUAACUACGUG
RNAcentral lists this ribosomal RNA (497 nucleotides) under uncultured bacterium. Its description in RNAcentral is "partial 16S ribosomal RNA". It matches the Rfam family "Bacterial small subunit ribosomal RNA", at positions 28 to 507 of the family's 1533-position model. The record is from RNAcentral.